Molecule: ribosomal RNA, 392 nt
Filed under: uncultured bacterium
Lineage: Bacteria
Description: partial 16S ribosomal RNA
Rfam family: Bacterial small subunit ribosomal RNA
Source: RNAcentral
AUACGGAGGAUGCGAGCGUUAUCCGGAUUUAUUGGGUUUAAAGGGAGCGUAGGCGGGAGCUUAAGUCAGCGGUUAAAUGGUGCGGCUCAACCGUGCCCUGCCGUUGAAACUGGGUUUCUUGAGAGUGCAAGAGGCGGAUGGAAUUCAUGGUGUAGCGGUGAAAUGCUUAGAUAUCAUGAAGAACUCCGAUUGCGAAGGCAGUCCGCUGGGGCACGUCUGACGCUGAUGCUCGAAGGUGCGGGAAUCAAACAGGAUUAGAUACCCUGGUAGUCCACGCAGUAAACGAUGAUGACUAACCGUCGGCGAUACACAGUCGGUGGCCAAGCGAAAGCGAUAAGUCAUCCACCUGGGGAGUACGUUCGCAAGAAUGAAACUCAAAUGAAUUGGCGGGG